UACGUAGGUGGCAAGCGUUGUCCGGAUUUACUGGGUGUAAAGGGCGAGUAGGCGGGACUGUAAGUCAGGUGUGAAAUGCGGAGGCUCAACCUCCGAAUUGCAUUUGAAACUACAGUUCUUGAGUGAUGGAGAGGCAGGCGGAAUUCCCGGUGUAGCGGUGGAAUGCGUAGAUAUCGGGAGGAACACCAGUGGCGAAGGCGGCCUGCUGGACAUUAACUGACGCUGAGGCUCGAAAGCGUGGGGAGCAAAC
This 250-nucleotide ribosomal RNA is filed under the name uncultured bacterium. RNAcentral's name for it is "partial 16S ribosomal RNA". It matches the Rfam family "Bacterial small subunit ribosomal RNA", at positions 524 to 773 of the family's 1533-position model. The record is from RNAcentral.